GGGGGUAUGGCGAAGCUGGGAUCGCACUUGAAUGGCAUUCAAGGGGCCAGGGGUUCGAAUCCCCUUAUCUCCA
Molecule: transfer RNA, 73 nt
Filed under: Oxobacter pfennigii
Lineage: Bacteria; Bacillati; Bacillota; Clostridia; Eubacteriales; Clostridiaceae
Rfam family: tRNA
About the family: Transfer RNA (tRNA) molecules are approximately 80 nucleotides in length.
Source: Rfam by way of RNAcentral